Molecule: ribosomal RNA, 310 nt
Filed under: uncultured eukaryote
Lineage: Eukaryota
Description: partial 18S ribosomal RNA
Rfam family: Eukaryotic small subunit ribosomal RNA
Source: RNAcentral
CCCUUAGAUGUUCUGGGCGGCCCGCGCACUACAAUGGCACUUUCAGCGAGUUCCUAUGUUGAAUUUUCCUGGGUAUUCUUGGAAGCGGCGUCUUGACUUGGGAUAGAUCCUUGUAAUUGUUGGUUUUGAACGAGGAAUUCCUUGUAAUCGCGGUUGAUCAGCUCGCGUUGAAUACGUCCCUGCCCUUUGUACACACCGCCCGUCGCUCCUACCGAUGAAUCGUCCGGUGAAGUUCACAGAGUGGCGGUUCGUGGAGUUGCUCGCGAAGUGAAAUGGACCUCACGAUUUAGAGGAAGGAGAAGUCGUAACA